This 473-nucleotide long non-coding RNA is filed under the name Cricetulus griseus (Chinese hamster). RNAcentral describes it as "lncRNA (ENSCGRG00000026561.1)". Lineage: Eukaryota; Metazoa; Chordata; Mammalia; Rodentia; Cricetidae. The record is from RNAcentral.
GGUGACAGCAGCAACUAAAGCCUGGGUACGGGGGCCGCCAUGGUCCAAUUUCAGCCGCCUCGAGUCGUGAGCGCCCUCGCGAGGCCAAGCCAGGCUGGAACAGGCUGUGGUGGUGUCUGCCGCUGGGAGGCAGAGCUGCUGAGUCUUGCGUGAGAGCUUAAGUCUGCCUGCGUUCCACCUUCAGCGUCAGCUCAGAGUAAAAACCCCUGGUUUUACCUGUGUGGCUGCCAGCCUCACCGCACUUGUUCCUUUUUCUCUGAGUGGUGGAGACCCGUAGACAUUAAUAUUGCGAACUGUUCGUGGGACUGCGGGCGAACUUUCCGGAGUCUAGGAUUCUGUCCAUUUUCUUUCCAGCAGGAUGAGAUUCGGGAUUUGGAAGGCAAAACAAACAAACAACCAACCAAAGAAAUGAAGAGGUUUGACUUUGGCCUUCUGUGAAUGAUGCUAAAGUGAAUAAGAGAAAUAAAGGUCAG